RNAcentral lists this long non-coding RNA (290 nucleotides) under Fukomys damarensis (Damara mole-rat). Its description in RNAcentral is "lncRNA (ENSFDAG00000027729.1)". The record is from RNAcentral. Lineage: Eukaryota; Metazoa; Chordata; Mammalia; Rodentia; Bathyergidae.
GGCCGGCUGGGCGUCGGGACGGCCGGGGUUGAGCCUCAGGGCGGCUGGGCCGUUUGUUCCCCGCGGUCGGGGCGUCCUGCCGGUUCCUCAGAAACCAGCCUGGCUGCCCCAGUUCCCUCGGCGGCCGAAGCCGCUUUGCUGACCCCCUCAGGUGGUUUCUGCUGGCCGACUCUGGAGGAAGGUUCGGAGCGCCCGCGACUGAACUUCCAGAGAUAACCCACGCCAGCAAGGGAGGCUCUUUCCAUUCAUCAGGCUCACAGAUACAGAACUUACAUAGCAUUCUGGCAUAG